This 458-nucleotide ribosomal RNA is filed under the name uncultured bacterium. RNAcentral describes it as "bacterial SSU rRNA". It matches the Rfam family "Bacterial small subunit ribosomal RNA", at positions 28 to 473 of the family's 1533-position model. The record is from RNAcentral.
GAUGAACGCUAGCUACAGGCUUAACACAUGCAAGUCGAGGGGCAGCAUGGUCUUAGCUUGCUAAGGCUGAUGGCGACCGGCGCACGGGUGAGUAACGCGUAUCCAACCUGCCGUCUACUCUUGGCCAGCCUUCUGAAAGGAAGAUUAAUCCAGGAUGGGAUCAUGAGUUCACGUGUCCGCAUGAUUAAAGGUAUUUUCCGGUAGACGAUGGGGAUGCGUUCCAUUAGAUAGUAGGCGGGGUAACGGCCCACCUAGUCAACGAUGGAUAGGGGUUCUGAGAGGAAGGUCCCCCACAUUGGAACUGAGACACGGUCCAAACUCCUACGGGAGGCAGCAGUGAGGAAUAUUGGUCAAUGGGCGAUGGCCUGAACCAGCCAAGUAGCGUGAAGGAUGACUGCCCUAUGGGUUGUAAACUUCUUUUAUAAAGGAAUAAAGUCGGGUAUGCAUACCCGUUUGCA